Molecule: ribosomal RNA, 253 nt
Filed under: uncultured bacterium
Lineage: Bacteria
Description: partial 16S ribosomal RNA
Rfam family: Bacterial small subunit ribosomal RNA
Source: RNAcentral
UACAGAGGGGGCAAGCGUUGUUCGGAAUUACUGGGCGUAAAGGGCGCGUAGGUGGCCCGCUAAGUCGAACGUGAAAUCCCCGAGCUCAACUCGGGAACUGCGUCCGAUACUGGUGGGCUUGAAUCCGGGAGAGGGAUGCGGAAUUCCAGGUGUAGCGGUGAAAUGCGUAGAUAUCUGGAGGAACACCGGUGGCGAAGGCGGCAUCCUGGACCGGCAUUGACGCUGAGGCGCGAAAGCGUGGGUAGCAAACAGG